GCAGUCGAGCGGAGAGAGGUAGCUUGCUACUGAUCUUAGCGGCGGACGGGUGAGUAAUGCUUAGGAAUCUGCCUAUUAGUGGGGGACAACAUUUCGAAAGGAAUGCUAAUACCGCAUACGUCCUACGGGAGAAAGCAGGGGAUCUUCGGACCUUGCGCUAAUAGAUGAGCCUAAGUCGGAUUAGCUAGUUGGUGGGGUAAAGGCCUACCAAGGCGACGAUCUGUAGCGGGUCUGAGAGGAUGAUCCGCCACACUGGGACUGAGACACGGCCCAGACUCCUACGGGAGGCAGCAGUGGGGAAUAUUGGACAAUGGGCGCAAGCCUGAUCCAGCCAUGCCGCGUGUGUGAAGAAGGCCUUAUGGUUGUAAAGCACUUUAAGCGAGGAGGAGGCUACUUUAGUUAAUACCUAGAGAUAGUGGACGUUACUCGCAGAAUAAGCACCGGCUAACUCUGUGCCAGCAGCCGCGGUAAUACAGAGGGUGGCAGCGUUAAUCGGAUUUACUGGGCGUAAAGCGCGCGUANGCGGCUAAUUAAGUCAAAUGUGAAAUCCCCGAGCUUAACUUGGGAAUUGCAUUCGAUACUGGUUAGCUAGAG
This 594-nucleotide ribosomal RNA is filed under the name bacterium 46-L049641-122-013-F06. Its description in RNAcentral is "bacterial SSU rRNA". It matches the Rfam family "Bacterial small subunit ribosomal RNA", at positions 57 to 646 of the family's 1533-position model. The record is from RNAcentral.